ACCGGCACCGUUACGGUCGACCCACUAUCUGCGGCGACGCGAGGGAAGCCGGUGAGAAUCCGGCGCGGUCGCGCCACUGUGAGCGGUCUCCGAUCCUGGGGGCCGCGAGCCAGGACGCUCGGUCGUCCGCAGCCUUGCGAU
This 141-nucleotide non-coding RNA is filed under the name Micromonospora lupini. Lineage: Bacteria; Bacillati; Actinomycetota; Actinomycetes; Micromonosporales; Micromonosporaceae. RNAcentral also lists the same sequence under 1 other name. The record is from RNAcentral.